RNAcentral lists this ribosomal RNA (744 nucleotides) under uncultured bacterium. Its description in RNAcentral is "bacterial SSU rRNA". It matches the Rfam family "Bacterial small subunit ribosomal RNA", at positions 8 to 796 of the family's 1533-position model. The record is from RNAcentral.
AGAGUUUGAUCAUGGCUCAGAGCGAACGCUGGCGGCAGGCUUAACACAUGCAAGUCGAGCGGGCGUAGCAAUACGUCAGCGGCAGACGGGUGAGUAACGCGUGGGAACGUACCUUUUGGUUCGGAACAACACAGGGAAACUUGUGCUAAUACCGGAUAAGCCCUUACGGGGAAAGAUUUAUCGCCGAAAGAUCGGCCCGCGUCUGAUUAGCUAGUUGGUGAGGUAAUGGCUCACCAAGGCGACGAUCAGUAGCUGGUCUGAGAGGAUGAUCAGCCACAUUGGGACUGAGACACGGCCCAAACUCCUACGGGAGGCAGCAGUGGGGAAUAUUGGACAAUGGGGGCAACCCUGAUCCAGCCAUGCCGCGUGAGUGAUGAAGGCCCUAGGGUUGUAAAGCUCUUUUGUGCGGGAAGAUAAUGACGGUACCGCAAGAAUAAGCCCCGGCUAACUUCGUGCCAGCAGCCGCGGUAAUACGAAGGGGGCUAGCGUUGCUCGGAAUCACUGGGCGUAAAGGGUGCGUAGGCGGGUCUUUAAGUCAGGGGUGAAAUCCUGGAGCUCAACUCCAGAACUGCCUUUGAUACUGAGGAUCUUGAGUUCGGGAGAGGUGAGUGGAACUGCGAGUGUAGAGGUGAAAUUCGUAGAUAUUCGCAAGAACACCAGUGGCGAAGGCGGCUCACUGGCCCGAUACUGACGCUGAGGCACGAAAGCGUGGGGAGCAAACAGGAUUAGAUACCCCCGUAGUCC